Molecule: long non-coding RNA, 920 nt
Filed under: Triticum aestivum (bread wheat)
Lineage: Eukaryota; Viridiplantae; Streptophyta; Magnoliopsida; Poales; Poaceae
Description: long non-coding RNA (TAES_LNC024306)
Source: RNAcentral
UUUUACUGAAAAAUAAGUAGUCAAGCCCGACACAAAUGCCUGGAAACCUGAAGGUGUAACUGAGGCCUGACAAAAAACUAACAGGAAUGCAAUUUUUUCACACAACCUUCAAAGGAAACGCACAAACUAUGCACACAUCUAGCAGCAAUUCAUGCAUACAUUUUAGAAUUUGUGAAUUUGUACAUAACGUCAUGCCACCAACCAAUCGUGAGUGUCAAGAAGAGAUUACUAAAAUGAUAAAAAUAGGAACAUGCAUAUACAGUUAUAUGCAUGCAUUAGGAACCGCAAAGCACAUGCCUCCUAGUUAUUCGUUACAGUACCCAAUGUCCAGGCCUCCAGUGGAACAGUGCAGACGCGGAGAUCUGGACAAAGAACGACUGGAGUGAACUCAUCUUCCUGAUCCUAACUUGGACGACGGAGGUGCUACUUGAUUGGGAUCAAGUACACUUGCGCAUGCUCGAUGCGGCCUCCAUCAGCGCCGCCAAACUACACCCUGCGGCCGGCGCUCUCGUUCCCAGAGAUCCUAAUUUGGAAUCAGAACGUCCAACCAAGUUAACUCAAAAUAAAAUCCGUUAUAUAUGAAAAGAUAAGAGUAAGGAGAGCCCGCACCUCUGGUGCAGGUGAUGCUGCAGGAGGACGUCGGGGAUGUCAUGCGUGGUUCAAUAAGAAGUCAGCUCAGCAGCAAGGCGGAGGGCUUGGGCCAGCAUAGUCCGCGCCGACGGCCAGGGCUCUAGGUCGACGACAACACAAAAUGGAGAGAUGCAUAAAUAGACGGAAGAAGAGAAGAAUCAUAAGGACCCCGGUGGAGAUUUAUUGAUUUGGGAAGAUAAAAGGAACCAUGGGUGGAAGGUGGAGGAAGAGAUGAAAGACCAAGGGGUGGAAGAGAGUAAAACACUUCGGGGCCGGUGGCCGUGCGGGAG